UACGGGGGGGGCAAGCGUUGUUCGGAAUUACUGGGCGUAAAGGGCUCGUAGGCGGCCAACUAAGUCAGACGUGAAAUCCCCAGGCUCAACCUGGGAACUGCGUCUGAUACUGGAUGGCUUGAGUUCGGGAGAGGGAUGCGGAAUUCCAGGUGUAGCGGUGAAAUGCGUAGAUAUCUGGAGGAACACCGGUGGCGAAGGCGGCAUCCUGGACCGACACUGACACUGAGGAGCGAAAGCCAGGGGAGCAAACGGG
RNAcentral lists this ribosomal RNA (253 nucleotides) under uncultured bacterium. RNAcentral describes it as "partial 16S ribosomal RNA". It matches the Rfam family "Bacterial small subunit ribosomal RNA", at positions 524 to 776 of the family's 1533-position model. The record is from RNAcentral.